AAUUAGUGUAUGUUAAAUGGUGAAAUACUUAAUAGGGAAUCUGGUUAAAUUCCAGAACUGUCCUCGCAACUGUAAGUGCAGACGAACUAGCUGAUGUCACUGUAUGUAUGAUUGCAUAUGGGAAGACGCUAUAGUAGAUAUAAAGCACAAGUCAGGAGACCUGCCAUUAAACAUCGAAAUUC
This 182-nucleotide non-coding RNA is filed under the name Gracilibacillus boraciitolerans. Lineage: Bacteria; Bacillati; Bacillota; Bacilli; Caryophanales; Bacillaceae. RNAcentral also lists the same sequence under 1 other name. The record is from RNAcentral.